Molecule: long non-coding RNA, 721 nt
Organism: Canis lupus familiaris (dog)
Lineage: Eukaryota; Metazoa; Chordata; Mammalia; Carnivora; Canidae
Exons: 2
Source: RefSeq, a predicted model, not a curated record
AAAUAAAUAAAUAUACAUACACACACACACACAGACAUUGCUUACCUUUAAUCCUUUAUCAUUUUUUAAUUAGGCCAGCAAAUCAAAAUGCCUUUCCCACUCCACUCGGCAAACAAGCCUGUGCCUCAUUUUACUUAAACACCAAAUGAUCAAGAAGGAAGAAACCAAAUAACACAUCUCAGCCAGAAUAAUCACUCGAUAACAUUAUUCCACCUCCCCACCCCCCUUUUGGCAAACGGAUCAGGAGUCCUUUUCUCCUUAAAAAAAUGUGUCACUGUACAGCUGGAAGAUAAUGUUUCACAUUCACAACAGAAGGACCAAAGGUUUUUUUUCCUCUGAACAAGCAUCGAGAAUAAUAGUUUAAAAAAAGAGAGAGAGAGAGAGAGAGAGAGGAGAGAGAGAGAGACAGAGAGAGCUUAGAGAAAAAAGUUUUCCCAACUUCUCAUUCCGCCUUCAGUUCCAGACUUCAGAGUCACGGUGAUCAGAGCAACAGUGUGGAAAUUUUAAAGUCAGAGUGUGAUCUGAGUUUAAUUGAAAGCAUCAUGAUCCCAAGCAUUAAAGAUCCAGCACUACUGUAAUUUCGGCAUGACAACUGCAAUGUGAGAAUGUGUCUUCACUGAGUCAAAUGGACAUAUAAAGUGGAUUAGUGCUUGCCAAAGACAGUUUAUGAUGUAAAUAUUCAGUGAUGACUUUGUGGGUCAAUAAAAAUAUUUAUGUCACA